AUGAAUAUAAGAAAAAAUGUAACUUCUAUAGUAAAUAAAAUGAAGAAUGAUAAUUCAGGAGUUAAGGAGAAAAAAUAUACUAGCAAUUAUAGUAGUAAUUUGUUACUAGAUAUUAAAAAAACAAAAAAUAGAUCCAUUGAUGAAGAAAAAAAUAAAAUUCCAAAUCAAUGUAGUAAUAUUAACAUUGUUAAAAGUAAAUCGAAUUCGUAUGACUCAAUAAAUGUGAGUUGGAACAAAGGGAGUAAUACAGAGAAUAAAAAAGAACAAACUGAUAGAAGUUUACAGGUAGAGCUAAAAAAUGAAUAUAACAAACUACAAGAGCAUAAUGAAUUAAAACGCGAAGAUAAAAAUGUAACAGAUAAUAAGAGGGAUGAAAAAAACAUAAUUUUUUACAACGAAAGUAGUGAUAAAUAUUUAAAUAAAAAUGAGGAAGAAGAAAAUGCAAAAAAAGAGAAUAAGCACCAUGAUUUUUCAAAUAUAGAAAAAAGUUCUUGUUCCCAAAAAAGCUUUUCUAACUCUUCUAAUAUAGUAAAUAAUGUAAAUGAGUAUAACCACAAUAUUAUAUAUCACGAAUUAUACAUUGAGUUAUUACAUGUAAAUAAAAUGUUACAAGAUGAAAUUAAUGCUUUAAAAAAAACGAUUGAAAUACAAAAGACGAUAAUUAAAAGUAAAGAUAAUUUUUUGUUAAGUGAUAUGAAUAGAAAUAAAAAAUUAAAUAAUGUAAAAUCUGUGAAUAAUAAUUAUUUUACAAAUUUUUUUAAUAAAAAAAAAAAAAAAAGUAAAGAUAACUUUUUUUCUAUAUCUUCUAAAACUGGAAAUACAUUAAAAACUAAUUUUUUUAGUAGUUAUAAAGGAUCAGAAAAAAAAAAAAAAAGAGAAAAAAAAGAUAACACCAUAAAAAAUUGUGGUAAUAAUGAUAAUACAGGUAUAUUUUUAGAAUGUGAAAAAGUAUAUAAUAAUGAAAUAGAGAUUUCAGAAAUGAAAUUAAAUGAAGAAAAAGAGAAAAAAAAAAAAUAUAAAAAUAAAAGCAGCUAUGAAAUAAAUGAAUAUAAACAUUUACCACUGAGUGAUGGUGAUGAAUACAUAAAAUAUAUGUCUAAUGAAGAAAAUGAAACAACAGAUCCUGUUGAUAAGGAAAAGCAUGAAAUUGAUAGUAGCUUACAUAAUAAUGAUGUAUAUAAGAUUAAUUAUAAAAUAGAAAAAGAUUGUUUAGGUAAUACAGAAAAAAGAAACUUCGGCUAUUCCAAUGAAAAAAUUGAAAGUAGUACAUAUGGAAAAGAUAAAAAAGUUAAAGAAGAUAAUGGUAAAGAUGAAAUAUUAAGCAUACAAGAAGUAACUUCUUUAACAUUUUGGUAUGAAGAAAUAUUACCAUUAAUUAAUAAUGAAAAAAAAAAAAAAAAUUUAAUAGACUUAGUUAAAAUAAAUCCAAUGCCAAGAAUAAUAAAAACAUAUUUUUGGGAAAUGAAUAUAAUUAAUAAAUUAAAUUUAACUGAUCAAUUUGUUCAAACUUUAGUAAAAAAUACAAAUUUUAUACAGUCAUAUAUAUAUACAUAUAAUACACAGUAUAAAAAUCAUAUAAAUAAAUAUUUUAAAUCAUUGGAUGAAUUAUUUAUUAACGAUUCUAAUGAAUAUACAUUAAAAACUGACUAUGUUAAUAGAAAUAAUGAUAAUGUUACGAAUAUAUUAAAAACAGAUAAUGUAGUAGAUGGAUUUGAAAAUUUGAAGCACACGUCUAGUAAGGGUGAAGAAAACAAAAUUAAAUCUAUUUUGAAUUUAAAAAACAAAGGUGAUAUAGGAGAAUAUAUAAAAGAUGAAGGAGAGAGUGUGAAUAAUAAUUUAGGAGAUAUAGGAAGUAACAGGAAGGAGAGCCAUAAUAGUUACAAAAGUGACAACGACAACAACCAUGACGCCAGCAACAACAGUGAUGACGAUAAAACCGAUAAUAACAAUAAUAAUAUUAAUAAAAAAAAUAAAAAUUUUAAUAAAGAUAUAACUACUUAUAACAUCGAUGUAUUACAAAACUUUUCAAUUCAGAAGUUUUUUUAUCAAAUAUUAAUAGAUUUGGACAGAACAAUGUAUAUAAUAAAAAAAAACCAAGAGUAUUAUAAAAAAUAUAACACAAAUUCUGAUCAUUUUUUACUUUCCAUUAAUUUGUGCGAAACUAAAGCAAAAUUAAAUUUGUUAUUACAAAUGUAUGUUCUUUUUAAGCCUGAAUUAGGGUAUGUCCAGGGAAUGUCCUACAUCGCCUUGGUAUUUCUGUUGUAUUGUAAAUUAGAGAAAGCCUUUGUUUAUUUCGCAAAUUUCAUGGAUCGAAAAAAUAUAUUCAAUAUGUACAGCUUUAACAAAGAAGAAAUAAAGAUUUACAUAUAUACUAUUAAGGAAAUACUAGCUAAACAAAAUAUAGAAACAUAUAAAGAAAUUGUCAAACAUUAUAACAUAGAUAAUAUUUUUAUUCAAUGGAUGUACACAAUUUUUUUAACAUGUUUACCUUUUCAAAUUUUUAUCCGCAUAUUUGACAUUUACACCUUUUACGAAAAUAUAAUAUAUGAGACCAUAUUAUGUAUUUUUACAUAUAUUAAUAAGCUCCACUCAAUGGAUAACGUUGACAAUUUAAUCAAAAAUUUACCAUCCUUCUCCUUUAACACACAUAUACAAGAAGACAAAUUUUGGAGGAUGUUAAAAAAGUCGAAAAUAAAAAAAGGAAAAAUACUUUAUUAUAGGGAAAAGUAUUUUAACAAAGUUUAUAGUAAGGACAAAACCAUUGAUUUAUUUCUUGUCCAUUUUUUUAUUUACACUUAUGUUAGUUUUGCUUGUUCGUGCUUUGCUUGCUCGUUUUU
This is a long non-coding RNA of Piliocolobus tephrosceles (Ugandan red Colobus), 2837 nucleotides long. NCBI's taxonomy places the organism in Eukaryota, Metazoa, Chordata, Mammalia, Primates, Cercopithecidae. The record is from Ensembl.